UAAGACGAAGGUGGCAAGCGUUGCUCGGAAUCACUGGGCAUAAAGCGCGCGUAGGUGGCUCGAUAAGUCAAUGGUGAAAUCCCAUGGCUCACCCAUGGAACUGCCGUCGAUACUGUCGGGCUUGAGGACGGUAGGGGAGAGUGGAACUCCUGGUGUAGCGGUGAAAUGCGUAGAUAUCAGGAGGAACGCCGGUGGCGAAAGCGACUCUCUGGGCCGCUCCUGACACUGAUGCGCGAAAGCUAGGGGAGCAAACAGGAUUAGAUACCCUGGUAGUCCUAGCUGUAAACGAUGGGCACUAGGUAGAGGUGGUUUCGAUGCCUCCUCUGCCGGAGCAAAUGUGUUAAGUGCCCCGCCUGGGGAGUAUGGUCGCAAGGCUA
Molecule: ribosomal RNA, 377 nt
Filed under: uncultured bacterium
Lineage: Bacteria
Description: bacterial SSU rRNA
Rfam family: Bacterial small subunit ribosomal RNA
Source: RNAcentral